This is a long non-coding RNA of Gadus chalcogrammus (walleye pollock), 2344 nucleotides long. RefSeq lists it as uncharacterized. The record is from RefSeq and is a predicted model, not a curated record. The transcript has 6 exons. Lineage: Eukaryota; Metazoa; Chordata; Actinopteri; Gadiformes; Gadidae.
UGUAUCCUAGCAUGUAUCUCUGCUCACUCAGACCACACCCCCAUGAGUAGGAUGCAACACUCUAGUGAUGGAGAUGUAGAGUUUUAUAAGUAACGAGGGAGCAGACUAAGGUGAUUAGAACACAAUGGAAUGUCCAGUCUGUAAAUCUUUAAACCAUGAAGAUGGUUGGAUAGUUCAGGAAUUGGGCUUCUUUUUAUCAUGGGCAGUCCUUUCACUCAGAUGCCCACGAUGAUGCCCAUGAUUUGCUGUUGGUGAUGAGGCGGUCAGGGUGACGUUGCAGGGCUAUGGUCGGCUCUCUGCUCAACGUUUAGAUUUGCUCUGUAUGGUUUAUACCCGGAAUAAUCUAGAUAAUUGUAAAAUGUAUACACGGUUUUGUAUUGAAUGAUUUUAGUUUUUAAAGUUGUUGUGGGACGUACAUGGUAGUUUGGUUCUUCGUAUGGUUUUGAGUGAUAUAACUUGUACACACUGGGUGCAUAAUAAUGUAAAGGUACACUGAAUAGUAAUAACCAACAGCAACAAACAGAUCUCCUCAAGGUAAGUCUGUUGGCUGUGUUUUAAUGAAGACCAUCGCUGGACUUCAGGAUCUUCCUCCGUUCAGCUCAAGGUGAGGCGCUGGUUCUGUUUUUUUCUUUGGUUGGUUCCGGCCGGAAUGUUCGGAUUCCAGUCGGACGGUUUGUGCUUCCCGCCGUGGAAGGUUCCGAGUGCGGUCACUUGAUUUAGUCCCAAUGGUUAGCAUAGAACGUUGUAGUCUUGACAACCAUAAGAAACCACCUGGCAGAUUGUUGGACUGGAGUCCCCUGAGGGAAUCUGGCGGAACGUUCUGGAUUGUAUUUGCGUAACCUCGAGCCGUUUCCUAUUCUAUUUCAGUCGGUUUCGAUUGGGAAUUGUUGCCCCUAUCUUAAACAACUUAAGUCUGAUAUUAAAUACAUACUGACACGUACGUCGUACAAAAUGUUGAUAAAUUCCGAUGGUUGCGCCGUACUUUUAACCACGAUGACGUGACGGGACUCUCACUGCGUACAAAACGGCGUUCUACUUGCGGAAUUUUUUGACAUCAGGGAAGGCCGAAAAUCAUUUCAAGGUGGAAGAUAAUUUGACGUUUCUUCAACGGAACCCAGCACCUGAAUAUGGCUGAGUAUAUUUGAUUUAAUAUCGAUACUGCUUCGAGUUCUUUGUUACUUCAGCUUUUGUACGUUGUAAAUAUCUGCUGUCAUAAAUUGCCACAGAAGUUAAACCCUACCCAAUGGAAUGACGUUAAACAACGACUUUGGUUCAGAGUUACCAACUUCAUAAUAUCAAAGCUAAAAUAAUGGCAGUCAUUCCCACAUGUUACAAUAGAAGAUACUCUAGAACUGUACAAGGUUAAAAAGGUAACAUGUAGUUUGUCCCAAGGUGUCUGCCUCCUCACCCGGAGCAGGACCUCCACCUCCUCACCCAGAGCCAGACCUCCACCUCCUCACCCAGAGCCAGACCUCCACCUCCAGUCAGAAGUCCUCCAGAACAACUGAACGGCGAGGCUGAGAGGCUGGGGAACAGAGGCUUGUGGUGCCAGGGUGGACCGGAGACUGAGGCUGGAGACCAGGGGGCCACAGCACCGGACCAGAGGACCAGGAAUCCAUGUCUGGAGGAGCCGUGCUGAAGGAGCUGUUGGAGGAGUCGUGCUGAAGGCCCUGCCUUGUGAAGGACGUCUGUCAUGGGACUAGGACUCUGUCUGAGGAGAGCUGCUGGAGGAGCUGAGACGCUGGAGGACGACUAGGAAUCGACCGACAAGGAUUCCUCAACGUGUUCCUGGAGAGGAGGCGAGCUGGUAGGGGAGCCGUGAAUCUGGAGGAUGAACAUCACUCUACAAACAAGGAUUACCACAACUCUGGCUGUGGAGAGCUGAUGGAGGAGCCAAGACUCUGGAGGACGACAUCGCUCCACCAACCAGGAUCCUCAUAAGUUUGCCUAAAAUAAACAGUAGACUUGUUGUAAUGCAGGAUUAGUUUGUCCAGUACAAGUUACGGCAUACUAUUGUGGUUGUUUACCAGACAAACUACAGCUGCUACUUUGUUACGCGCCAUUAGAGCCCAACUACUCCUGUGUUUGUGACAUUACAUUAGAGCCCAACUUCUGCUGUGUUUGUGACAUUACAUUAGAGCCCAACUUCUGCUGUGUUUGUUACAUUACAUUAGAGCCCAACUACUACUGUUUGUUACCUUACAUUAGAGACAAAUGAAGUUUGUAACCAGACCAGGAAUCUGGAGGACUGAUGGAGAAGCCGUACAUCUGGAAGGAAAAUCCUGAGGAUCACCAGCACUCUACCACCAAGGAUUCCUCAUAAGUUUGCAUUAUCUGGAAAUGG